Molecule: non-coding RNA, 29 nt
Filed under: Cricetulus griseus (Chinese hamster)
Lineage: Eukaryota; Metazoa; Chordata; Mammalia; Rodentia; Cricetidae
Source: RNAcentral
UUCGGAGCUAACAAAAACAAACCAGAAGA